Long non-coding RNA from Melopsittacus undulatus (budgerigar), 191 nucleotides. RefSeq lists it as uncharacterized. The record is from RefSeq and is a predicted model, not a curated record. Lineage: Eukaryota; Metazoa; Chordata; Aves; Psittaciformes; Psittaculidae. The transcript is spliced from 3 exons.
UAUGAAGUGACCUGUCUGGCAUGAUGUACCAUCCCAACUGGCCAAGGAGAAGGUUGCCAGGUCAUCGUAGCAGACUAAGAACUGAUUUGAAGCCUCAGAGGAGGUCAUACUGGGGCAACAAAACCUACAAGAAGAGCAUAAUUUUUCUUGAGCUGGAAGCUUUUAUUUCACUACAGCUGAAGCUUGUCAGU